UACGUAGGUGGCAAGCGUUGUUCGGAAUUACUGGGCGUAAAGGGCUCGUAGGUGGCCAACUAAGUCAGACGUGAAAUCCCUCAGCUUAACUGGGGAACUGCGUCUGAUACUGGAUGGCUUGAGUUUGGGAGAGGGAUGCGGAAUUCCAGGUGUAGCGGUGAAAUGCGCAGAGAUCGGGAGGAACACCCGUAGCGAAGGCGGCGCUCUGGGCCGGUACUGACGCUGAGGAGCGAAAGCGUGGGGAGCAAACAGG
This 253-nucleotide ribosomal RNA is filed under the name uncultured bacterium. RNAcentral's name for it is "partial 16S ribosomal RNA". It matches the Rfam family "Bacterial small subunit ribosomal RNA", at positions 524 to 776 of the family's 1533-position model. The record is from RNAcentral.